UGCCAGCCGCCGCGGUAAUACGGAGGGUGCAAGCGUUGUUCGGAUUUACUGGGCGUAAAGAGCGCGCAGGCGGCCAGGUCAGUCGAAUGUGAAAGCCCUGGGCUCAACCUGGGAACUGCAUGGGAUACUGGCAUUCUAGAAUACAGUAGAGGGAGGUGGAAUUUCAGGUGUAGCGGUGAAAUGCGUAGAUAUAGGAAGGAACACCAGUGGCGAAGGCGACACCCUGGACCAAUACUGACACUGAGGUGCGAAAGCGUGGGGAGCAAACAGGAUUAGAUA
RNAcentral lists this ribosomal RNA (279 nucleotides) under uncultured bacterium. RNAcentral's name for it is "partial 16S ribosomal RNA". It matches the Rfam family "Bacterial small subunit ribosomal RNA", at positions 506 to 784 of the family's 1533-position model. The record is from RNAcentral.